UCCUACUGAGUAACAAUGUCAACCUGGCUGU
RNAcentral lists this non-coding RNA (31 nucleotides) under Mus musculus (house mouse). Lineage: Eukaryota; Metazoa; Chordata; Mammalia; Rodentia; Muridae. The record is from RNAcentral.